UGCAAUUCACAUUUCACAAUUUCACAUUAUCAAUCCAAUUUCACAAUAUCAAUUCACCUUAUCAAUCCAAUUUAAUGCUCCAUUCAGACAAAUUAGCGCAAUUAAGGAGACAAAUAGAACAGAGUAUGAAUUAGUAUCCAAAACAAAUAAAUUAUUUUAAUAAUGAAGCUUCCAAGUUCCAUCAUAUGGGUUAGUUCGAGGAGGCAUGGGUUGGUUUUGCAUAAUUAAUCAACUUGUUAUAUAGUAGUAAUUAAAUAUUAAUCAUUAAAAUCCACGAACCCACCCAUAUUGUACCUUAUCUAAUACGUAAUACAAUAUUUAGGUACAAGAUAUUAUGGAUCAUGAGUCAGGCCCUAGAUGAAUCUUGUGACUUUGCUUGGCAUCCAAAGCUUUUAACUUUUGCCUAAUUUUCCAUGCUUAGGCAAGAAUUUAUUCUAAGCUUGUCCUUGUAGAAUUGAUUUACAAAUCGGAACAAUAUCAGGCAUCUAAUAAGCAAAACCAUAUUUAAUAUGACUAUUAUUGUAUCUUUAAUAUAAUUAUAUUGUCUUAAGUUUCUCGAUACUAGUCUGGAUAAUUGUAACAUUAUAUAAAGGCCUAGCCGAGAAUACAAGCCACCGCACUUGGGUGACAAGAUGAAUAACGCUAAUUGUAGGACCCGCGGCUUGGAAACAACUUAAUUUCAACACUUUUAUUUUAUAUUUAUUUUUAUUCCGUGGGUUUUCUAUUAUUCUUGCUCCAUAAAGUGAAAUAUGAAACUCAUUCCUCUAUUUUUUGGAGCUUGGGUGUAUCGCACUUGGGAGAGCAGAUAUCAAUUAAUUCCUAGUUCCCACUCCAUAAAGUGAAAUAUGAAACUCAUUCUUCUUAGUUUUUGGAGUUGGGGUAUUGCACUUGGGAGCGAAUAUAACGGUUCAUUUCUCUUGUGCGGUUGUGCCUAACUUUUACUAAAAUGACAAGUAAUUCAGCAAUGGAAAAUUAAUAAACACACUGCACACAAAUUAACGCAAAUUGAAAUCAAAGUCAGUAAGUCACCUUCACCUUCUUCGUUCAAUCGUUCUUCUGCUGGGCUACGAGCGGCGAGCCUACGGCUUCUUUUCUUCAAAUUGAAAUCAAAGUCAGUAAGCCCCUGCUGCCUAUAGCUUCUUUUCUUCAGUUCUUCUUCUUUAGAGGUGGCAACUGGUGCUUGGCAGGGGCAGAGUUUCGAGAGAGGCAGGCGAGAGUCGAGAGAUGGAGAGAGACACGAUUCAAG
This 1246-nucleotide long non-coding RNA is filed under the name Olea europaea subsp. europaea. The record is from RNAcentral. Lineage: Eukaryota; Viridiplantae; Streptophyta; Magnoliopsida; Lamiales; Oleaceae.